Molecule: ribosomal RNA, 771 nt
Filed under: uncultured bacterium
Lineage: Bacteria
Description: bacterial SSU rRNA
Rfam family: Bacterial small subunit ribosomal RNA
Source: RNAcentral
AGAGUUUGAUCAUGGCUCAGGACGAACGCUGGCGGCGUGCUUAACACAUGCAAGUCGAACGGAAAGGCCCUUCGGGGUACUCGAGUGGCGAACGGGUGAGUAACACGUGGGUGAUCUGCCCUGCACUUUGGGAUAAGCCUGGGAAACUGGGUCUAAUACCGAAUAUGACCAUGCACUUCCUGGUGUGUGGUGGAAAGCUUUUGCGGUGUGGGAUGGGCCCGCGGCCUAUCAGCUUGUUGGUGGGGUAAUGGCCUACCAAGGCGACGACGGGUAGCCGGCCUGAGAGGGUGACCGGCCACACUGGGACUGAGAUACGGCCCAGACUCCUACGGGAGGCAGCAGUGGGGAAUAUUGCACAAUGGGCGCAAGCCUGAUGCAGCGACGCCGCGUGAGGGAUGACGGCCUUCGGGUUGUAAACCUCUUUCAGCACAGACGAAGGGCAAGUGACGGUAUGUGCAGAAGAAGGACCGGCCAACUACGUGCCAGCAGCCGCGGUAAUACGUAGGGUCCGAGCGUUGUCCGGAAUUACUGGGCGUAAAGAGCUCGUAGGUGGUUUGUCGCGUUGUUCGUGAAAACUCACAGCUUAACUGUGGGCGUGCGGGCGAUACGGGCAGGCUUGAGUACUGCAGGGGAGACUGGAAUUCCUGGUGUAGCGGUGGAAUGCGCAGAUAUCAGGAGGAACACCGGUGGCGAAGGCGGGUCUCUGGGCAGUAACUGACGCUGAGGAGCGAAAGCGUGGGGAGCGAACAGGAUUAGAUACCCUGGUAGUCC